RNAcentral lists this long non-coding RNA (224 nucleotides) under Lathyrus oleraceus (garden pea). RNAcentral describes it as "Pisum sativum (pea) long non-coding RNA (PSAT_LNC012365)". The record is from RNAcentral. Lineage: Eukaryota; Viridiplantae; Streptophyta; Magnoliopsida; Fabales; Fabaceae.
ACACUUUCUCAAAACUUAAAAACAAUUCAACGCAUUCAAACCUUUUGUUUGAGCCUUAGGGCGACACCAUCGAAAACCCUUCUUCAAGGUAAUAAAAUCAACAAAACAAACACAAACAAUUUCAAAACCACGAACUACGAAGGCUCUGAUUUCUCACUUUUCAACAAAACAAACACAAACAAUUUCAAAACCACGAACUACGAAGGCUCUGAUUUCUCACUUCA